RNAcentral lists this ribosomal RNA (495 nucleotides) under uncultured bacterium. RNAcentral's name for it is "partial 16S ribosomal RNA". It matches the Rfam family "Bacterial small subunit ribosomal RNA", at positions 28 to 507 of the family's 1533-position model. The record is from RNAcentral.
GACGAACGCUGGCGGCGUGCCUAAUACAUGCAAGUAGAACGCUGAAGGAGGAGCUUGCUCUUCUGGAUGAGUUGCGAACGGGUGAGUAACGCGUAGGUAACCUGCCUGGUAGCGGGGGAUAACUAUUGGAAACGAUAGCUAAUACCGCAUAAGAGUAGAUGUUGCAUGACAUUUGCUUAAAAGGUGCAAUUGCAUCACUACCAGAUGGACCUGCGUUGUAUUAGCUAGUUGGUGGGGUAACGGCUCACCAAGGCGACGAUACAUAGCCGACCUGAGAGGGUGAUCGGCCACACUGGGACGGAGACACGGCCCAGACUCCUACGGGAGGCAGCAGUAGGGAAUCUUCGGCAAUGGACGGAAGUCUGACCGAGCAACGCCGCGUGAGUGAAGAAGGUUUUCGGAUCGUAAAGCUCUGUUGUAAGAGAAGAACGAGUGUGAGAGUGGAAAGUUCACACUGUGACGGUAUCUGACCAGAAAGGGACGGCUAACUACGUG